This 1556-nucleotide long non-coding RNA is filed under the name Papio anubis (olive baboon). RNAcentral's name for it is "lncRNA (ENSPANG00000049162.1)". Lineage: Eukaryota; Metazoa; Chordata; Mammalia; Primates; Cercopithecidae. The record is from RNAcentral.
GGGAUUUUCAAAGUUUCACAUAAAUAUUUUGAUUCAUUUUGGGAAACGAAUUGGGAUCAUGAGAUUGCUUAAGUUUAUUUUGCUUUCUUAAAAUUUGUUUUUAUUUUUGUAUGUUCUUGUUUCAUUCUCAUGGGACCUCCAAUUGUCUUUCCACUGUGUCUAGUCUUAUAAGGAAUACAAAAAUAUUGCCAGUUAAGGUAAUUACUCUGUUGUUUACAUGAGACAAUAAAUGGAUGAAACAAUUUACAUGAGAAUAUGAAGUAGAGAACUGAAGAUUCUUUGAGCUAACUUUGUUCUUUAACCUUGGGAUCCUCUGGAUGAGAGUUUUGGUGUCUUUGAUUAAUCACUUGUCCAAUUACCUCUGUUAUUCACUCCAAAUUUAUUGCUUCUGUGGGCAGUUUCUUCAAAUUCUUGGACCACACCCUCAAAAACAUUCUACUUCAUCCCAUCUACUCCUUUUAGGGAGUAUGCCUCACAAGUUGAUAAUCUUCUUGGUUGGUAAAGAGAGAAAGAAUAUGAAAUCAAGAUGAAUCCAGGAAAUUUUUUCAAGCUUUAUUUCUUUUUGGUUGUAUUAAGGAAAGAAAAGAAAUCCUUUUCGGAUGGACACAUAUUGGGGUCCCUAUCAUUUCCUGGAGUCUGGCACAUAUAAAGUUUAAGGUUAGAAAGAUAUUUUUAAACAAUUCCUCAGGUUAGGGAAAGCAAUGAAUUCUUUCAGCAUAUGAAUUAAGAUUAAACAUAUUUGCUAGCAGCAGAGUGAUCUUUGCUGUAAAAGAUUUAAUCCUCUGAGGCCAGACCAGGGUGGUUUUGUCCCAUCUCUUCUCCACCUUUAGGACAUUAAGGUUUCCCUCUCUCUCUUUAUCUCAUCUUCUGUUCAGCUGCAAUGCCUAGGAGAAGAAAGAAAAAGGCCUACAAAGCAUUCCCUGGAGGCCUUGUAUCAGAGGAGGUGGAAUACUACAGGAAGAGAUGGAGUCUUACUCUGUCACCUAGGCUGGAGGGAAAUGGUGCAAUCUCCACUCACUACAACCUCUGCCUCCCUGAUUCAAGUCAUUCUUGUGCCUCAGCCUCUGGAGUAGCUGGGACUAUAGGAGCCACCAUGCCUGAUUAAUUUUUGUAUUUUUUGUAGAGACGGGAUUUUGCCAUGUUGGCCAGGCUGGUCUCGAACUCCUGACUUCAAGUAAACUUCCUGCCUUGGCCUCCCAAAGUGUUAGGGUUAUAGGCAUGAGCCACUGUGUUGGCAAUUCACUGAUAUUUCUAAUAUUCAUGUUAAGUGACAGAAGACCACCAGAAUUUUAUUUCUAGCCACUUUGCUCUAGGGUGGGUGGUGGUGGGUAACUGAAAUUUCCUCUGGCUUCAUCUUCUUUGGGGUGCAAGUGGGAUCUCUGCAAUUCAUAUGUGAGUUUCCAGUUUGUUUAUACAGGAUUUUACACUAAGUGCACCUCAAGUACUUUAAGAAAUCCCAAUAAGGUGAAUCAAAUGUACUGAGGAGUGAGCGCAAUCAUUUUAGGCAUUAUGGUACUACUCCAGGUACUCCUUUUAUCUGACCACUACAAUUAGUU